This 422-nucleotide ribosomal RNA is filed under the name uncultured bacterium. RNAcentral's name for it is "partial 16S ribosomal RNA". It matches the Rfam family "Bacterial small subunit ribosomal RNA", at positions 360 to 774 of the family's 1533-position model. The record is from RNAcentral.
AAUAUUGGACAGUGGGGGCAACCCUGAUCCAGCCAUGCCGCGUGUGUGAAGAAGGUCUNAGGAUUNUNACGCACUUUAAGUUGGGNGGAAGAGUUGUAGGCUAAUACCUUGCAAUUUUGACGUUACAAACAGAAUAAGCACCGGCUAACUUCGUGCCAGCAGCCGCGGUAAUACGUAGGGGGCAAGCGUUGUCCGGAAUUAUUGGGCGUAAAGGGUGCGUAGGCGGCCUUUUAAGUCAGAUGUGAAAGCCCACGGCUUAACCGUGGGACUGCAUUUGAAACUGGAGGGCUUGAGUAUCGGAGAGGGUAGUGGAAUUCCCAGUGUAGCGGUGGAAUGCGUAGAUAUUGGGAGGAACACCAGUGGCGAAGGCGACUACCUGGACGAAAACUGACGCUGAGGCACGAAAGCUAGGGGAGCAAACA